GUGUUGCAUGAAAGGAGAGAAGGUUAGCACUCCCCUUGACAAGGAGGGAAGAGGCCCUGACAACACGCAUAUGGUUAAGGCAUUGCCACCUACUUCGUGGCUUCUAACCACUGUUUUUG
Molecule: non-coding RNA, 119 nt
Filed under: Sciurus vulgaris (Eurasian red squirrel)
Lineage: Eukaryota; Metazoa; Chordata; Mammalia; Rodentia; Sciuridae
Source: RNAcentral